This 157-nucleotide small nucleolar RNA is filed under the name Arabidopsis thaliana (thale cress). RNAcentral describes it as "small nucleolar RNA SnoR79-3". The record is from RNAcentral. Lineage: Eukaryota; Viridiplantae; Streptophyta; Magnoliopsida; Brassicales; Brassicaceae.
GUAAUUACUGUUACAUGUCGGGUAGAGAAAAAAGAGAGAAGGAAAAGCUUUUUAACCUGAGCUUCAUUUUUAGAGUUUGGAUUUCUUUUUUAAGAUGCUCAUCGUUUGCUUGGUCAUCUGCAUUUGGUGAUGCCUGAGCUACAUCUGUUCAUCACAU